ACUAUUUUGGCAGAAAAGUGUAAUGAUUUUAGAAGUCAAAAAUAUAUAGGUAAUUAUAUAGGUAGUA
This 67-nucleotide transfer RNA is filed under the name Quasithosea sythoffi. RNAcentral describes it as "tRNA-Leu". The record is from RNAcentral. Lineage: Eukaryota; Metazoa; Arthropoda; Insecta; Lepidoptera; Limacodidae.